AAUAGUUUGGUUCACGUCGAAGGUAUCAACGUCAACGAAAGCGAGUCUUAAUCGAAUUUAAUCUAGUUACAUGGAUAAACACAUUGGACAUUAGGUGUUAGUAAAUUUAGUUUUGCCUUUGUUAUUGUUUGUUUACUGUAAAACGAAGUUGCUCAUUGCCGCUCUUAUUCUUUUCUAGAAUUACAAUGCGUUAUAGCUGUUUCAUUAACCACUACCUCUAUAGUUUUUCAGUAUAAAUCCUACUAUUUUAAAGUCAUAGGUUUGAAAGUUGUAUGUCAAAGUGUGUCUGUUCAUAUUUGAACACAUUUAACAGAUACUGAGACCGCAAGCUAGGGAGAUUUUCUUUCUAGAUCCCCUCCAUGGCGCUGGCUGGAGAGAAAAGUCCCACCCAAACAUUCAGGUUUUUCGGGCACCCGGUUUCAUCCCAUCUGGAUAGUGGUAGUUCAGUUUAAAAAUCUAUGGCUCUGUUUAAUUUGAAGUGAAAUGUAAUAUGUCAAAUAUGUUUGUACUUACAUACAUGUAUGAUACAUAAUUUCCCAUUCGGUGCAUUAAACAGAUGGAAACAAAACCAUAGACAACAUUAUCAGUGGGGCAGUUCUCUUUGAACUCAUUAUGACCCCUUAAAAAAAUUGAGUUCGAGCCUUUGGGAAAAUUCAGUUUCAACUGUGUUCAAAACUGUUAUGCAUACUGGAGUAUAAAAAGCUGUUGAAUUGUACUUUUUCUUAACUUUCACAUACACUGUGUUCACAGAAACAUUGCUCGAAUCUUGUCCCCUGGACCUUGGAGGACUUUUGGUGUGGGUGAUGUUCAGGGCCUACCAACGCAAAGUUUCUCAAACAAAUGUGGGGUGUUUGUUUUGAUGGAUGAUGUAUAUGACUCUCCCCCAAGAAGUCACAGCAUGUCACAUCAGCCUUCAGCUCUGCAGGAUCAGACAAUACUGAAAACAAAAUGCACGGCGAACUGGGAGCUGUGAACUGUGUAUGUAGUCUACUGUGUGUAAUGCUGAAGGCUUGAUGCAUGGCAAGAUAUAAUAGACUUGGAAGCAGCAAGGUGGUGCGAACGCCAAACAUUUAAAGGCACCAUUUCCCUCCCUAGUGUAAUUGGGAUGGAGGGGGAAGACCGUAUUACAACCCUUAAAGAACUACGGUUGUAUGAUGGCCUGGAUGAGGAGGAAAAUAUUCUCCUCAAGAAACCAUUCAUGUUCUCAUUCCAGUCACAGAGAGAUUAUUAGAUGUUCUAUGUGGAGGCAGUUGACAACAAGAAAAUGCCUGCCUUUGCCUCUUUUGAGGAGCAGGAGUGAAGCAAUUUUUGAGGAGUGGUCAAACUUUGUUUUUGUCUGCUGUGUUAAUUGUUUCAUUUGUUAAUUGUGUUAUGUUGUUUAGUAAAGAUGACUUAGAAGUCA
Long non-coding RNA from Oncorhynchus kisutch (coho salmon), 1402 nucleotides. RefSeq lists it as uncharacterized. The record is from RefSeq and is a predicted model, not a curated record. The transcript has 5 exons. NCBI's taxonomy places the organism in Eukaryota, Metazoa, Chordata, Actinopteri, Salmoniformes, Salmonidae.